This 253-nucleotide ribosomal RNA is filed under the name uncultured bacterium. RNAcentral's name for it is "partial 16S ribosomal RNA". It matches the Rfam family "Bacterial small subunit ribosomal RNA", at positions 524 to 776 of the family's 1533-position model. The record is from RNAcentral.
GACAGAGGGUGCAAACGUUGCUCGGAAUUACUGGGCGUAAAGCGUGCGCAGGCGGUUUUGUAAGCCAGAUGUGAAAUCCCCGGGCUUAACCUGGGAAUGGCAUUUGGGACUGCAAGGCUGGAGUGCGGCAGAGGAGACUGGAAUUCCUGGUGUAGCAGUGAAAUGCGUAGAUAUCAGGAGGAAUACCGAUGGCGAAGGCAGGUCUCUGGGCUGACACUGACGCUCAUGCACGAAAGCGUGGGGAGCAAACAGG